This 222-nucleotide ribosomal RNA is filed under the name uncultured bacterium. RNAcentral's name for it is "partial 16S ribosomal RNA". It matches the Rfam family "Bacterial small subunit ribosomal RNA", at positions 114 to 334 of the family's 1533-position model. The record is from RNAcentral.
CGCGUGAGGAACCUGCCUCAAAGAGGGGGACAACAGUUGGAAACGACUGCUAAUACCGCAUAAGCCCACGGCUCGGCAUCGAGCAGGGGGAAAAGGAGCAAUCCGCUUUGAGAUGGCCUCGCGUCCGAUUAGCUAGUUGGUGAGGUAAUGGCCCACCAAGGCGACGAUCGGUAGCCGGACUGAGAGGUUGAACGGCCACAUUGGGACUGAGACACGGCCCAG